CAGAGGUCCCGAGCGUUGUUCGGAUUCACUGGGCGUAAAGGGUGCGUAGGUGGCGAUGAAAGUUCGAUGUGAAAUCUCCGGGCUUAACCCGGAAAAGGCAUUGAAAAUUAUGUUGCUUGAGGUUUGGAGGGGGGACUGGAAUUCUUGGUGUAGCAGUGAAAUGCGUAGAUAUCAAGAGGAACACCAGUGGCGAAGGCGGGUCCCUGGACAACACCUGACACUGAGGCACGAAAGCUAGGGGAGCAAACAGGAUUAGAUACCCUGGUAGUCCUAGCCCUAAACGGUGCAUGUUUGCUGUAGGAGGAAUCGACCCCUUCUGUGGCGAAGCUAACGCGAUAAACAUGCCGCCUGGGGAGUACGGUCGCAAGAUUA
RNAcentral lists this ribosomal RNA (372 nucleotides) under uncultured organism. RNAcentral describes it as "bacterial SSU rRNA". It matches the Rfam family "Bacterial small subunit ribosomal RNA", at positions 526 to 896 of the family's 1533-position model. The record is from RNAcentral.